AUCAGGAGGCUCCGAGGUGCGACGUGAACGUGACUUCCUUCCUGCUUCCUGGUGCUUUGCGGACAAGGGCGGUGAUGGGAGAGGAAGGGACGAGCCCAGGCCGGGGUUUCCACGGCUGGCAGCCCGGCUCCCUGCCGCCCGCCCGCUUCUGGGCUUCUUGGCUGGGGCUGCUCCUGACAGAAGGGAUGCGUGUUGUCGGGGGCGGGGGGCGGCGUGUGUGCGUGUGCGUGUGCGAGAGUAUGUGUGUGCGCUUAAAAUACAAAAAAAAGAAGGCUGGCUACACUCAGCUGCGAGAGGCUGGCCGGGCUCCGUCCGUGCCAAUUCCCUCCGAGCUGGCACCGUGGGGACCGGGAGGGGGGAGAGGUGAGGGAAGAUGGACGCUUGCCACGGACGAGCGGCAGGGCUGGGCGCCUCCCGGGUGCCAGCGGGCGCACGGGGCCAAAACUCACAAACAAAAACCGCAGCAGAUCGCUGGCAGCCCGUCCUGGGGAGGCGGCAGCCACUUGGCAGAGGAGCCAUGGAGGACCCGGCUGGGAGUAGGCGGCCGGCGCACAGGCUUUCCUGCUGCCGAGGAGCUCUCGUUCUGGGUGACUUGGCAUUUGCUUACGAAUGAAGCCAGAUGCGGAAGCAGACCGGCCUUGAGGGAGAGGCGUCAACGGCACCGGCCGUCCACGACCCGCGGAGCAGCCAAGAGGACAGACGCUGGGAGACACCGGCCGCCACUGGCCUGAGGGCAUCUGUCCUGACAUGUCCCCUCUGACGCUUCCGGAAGAGUUGGGAGGCUCUUAACAACCAAAAUAUGUGCCUGGAGAAUUGGGGGAAUUAGGAAUCUGACCCUUCCGUGCCCCUGUGCCUUCCAAAGCAUUUCCUCUUUUGUUCUGUCCACUUUCCUUUGAAUGUGCUCGCUGCUAUCCGCUCAGCCACGAGGAAAUGAGGCCUCGUCCCGUCUGCCCCAGGGACCAGGGGAGCAGGGAGGGCGGGGACGUGCUGCCUGAGGCCUGACAGUGGCAGUGCGCGUCUCCUGGUGCCGUGCCCGUGCCCCUCACAGCAUCCCCGCUGGGAAGUCCCCAGUGUUGUGCCCAUUUACAGACGAGGAGACGGAGGCUCCGGGAGGAGGGGUGCCCCCACCAGGGAGCGUUGAGCCAGCGUGCGCGCCCAGUCUGUCGACUCCACGGUCCAAGCCGACCUUGGGAGGGUUGAGGUCCCUGCACCUCAAUCUCCACAGCUGUGGAGCAGGGGUGGUGAGAGUCCCCACCUCGCAGAGUCACUGUGAGGGUCCAGCCGCUGAACGUGUGCAAACAGGAGGAGAGUGCAGGUGGAGAGUGAGCAGUGCUGGUCGUCUUGACCCAAACAUGUGUCCCCAAAACCAAAGUUUCCCAGCACUUACUUUUUCCACGUGCAACACAUCCUGAUGGUUUUUGAAAAGCUCUGCUGCCAACAGCGGGAGACCCCCGCCUGGAAGAAGGAUGCCCGGGAGCAGUGCCUGGGGUGCGCCAUCUGCCCCCCAGGGUCCCUUCUGCUCGGCCCAGGAUGUGGUGUUUUGUUUUGGCAAAAGGGCGGUCCCUCCCUUUGGUCCACCUCACAGAGACCAAGUUACGAUAAGGCUCGAGGAAGAGUCCAGGAAGGUGGAGCAUGGGGAGAAGCGGCCCCAGGGAGCAGCGCGGACGGGCUUCAGCGAACAGACGCGCAGGCUCUUCUGGUGCGGUUGGUAGGACCACCUUGUCAGCUCAUUCAACAGGCUUCACUGGGACUGCGGUUCAAGCGGCUUCACGAUGUGGGGGCGCCAGUGUGCCCUCACGUCCCUCUGUCCCUGGACCUUUCAGUGCACAGCAGCCAGGUGUCCACCUGCCAGUCCCAGCAUCCUUACCUGGCUGCUGGAGCCCACCUGUGAGCAUGCUUCUGGGGAGCCCCAACCAAGACAGCUGAGCACGAGCUGUGCUGGAGGCCUGCAGGGAGCUGUGUGCAUGGGAGGAGCUGGGCAUGCUCUCACACUGCUCAUGAGAAAAGUCCCCCAGAGUCAUCCAUGGCCCGAGGGCCCGUGUGCCUGGCGCACUGUCUGCUGCCUCUUCUCUCUCAUACUCUCCGGCAGCCACCCCGACCACAUCAGACUCCAACUCAGGGCCUUUGCACAAGCCAGUCCCUCUGCCUGGAGGUCCUUCCUUCCACUCUCUGUGUCUAACCCUGGUUCCCCGUCCACAUCACCAUCCCACUUUCCCCCACCCCAGCAUCUAAACUGGGAGCCCCGUGCCCAUUUUUCCCUUCACUCAAUAAACGUGCAUGGGGAACCUACAAUGUGCCAGACCCUGUUCCAAGCUCUGGGGUCAUAUAAAAUGGACACAAAUUCCUGUUCCAUGGUGCUUUUACACUGUGAAUGGGGGUGGGGGAUAGUAAUGUGGUAAAG
This 2401-nucleotide long non-coding RNA is filed under the name Equus caballus (horse). Its description in RNAcentral is "lncRNA (ENSECAG00000043127.2)". Lineage: Eukaryota; Metazoa; Chordata; Mammalia; Perissodactyla; Equidae. The record is from RNAcentral.